CAGUAGCCGCGGUAAUACGAAGGGGGCUAGCGUUGUUCGGAAUCACUGGGCGUAAAGGGUGCGUAGGCGGGAUCUUAAGUCAGGGGUGAAAUCCCGAGGCUCAACCUCGGAACUGCCUUUGAUACUGGGGUCCUUGAGUCCGGAAGAGGUGAGUGGAACUGCGAGUGUAGAGGUGAAAUUCGUAGAUAUUCGCAAGAACACCGGUGGCGAAGGCGGCUCACUGGUCCGGAACUGACGCUGAGGCACGACAGCGUGGGGAGCAAACAGGAUUAGAUACCCCAGUAGUCCCUGUCUCUUAUAC
This 301-nucleotide ribosomal RNA is filed under the name uncultured bacterium. Its description in RNAcentral is "partial 16S ribosomal RNA". It matches the Rfam family "Bacterial small subunit ribosomal RNA", at positions 509 to 807 of the family's 1533-position model. The record is from RNAcentral.